GGCAAGCGUUGUCCGGAAUUAUUGGGCGUAAAGCGCGCGCAGGCGGUUUCUUAAGUCUGAUGUGAAAGCCCCCGGCUCAACCGGGGAGGGUCAUUGGAAACUGGGAAACUUGAGUGCAGAAGAGGAGAGUGGAAUUCCACGUGUAGCGGUGAAAUGCGUAGAGAUGUGGAGGAACACCAGUGGCGAAGGCGACUCUCUGGUCUGUAACUGACGCUGAGGCGCGAAAGCGUGGGGAGCGAACAGGAUUAGAUACCCUGGUAGUCCACGCCGUAAACGAUGAGUGCUAAGUGUUAGAGGGUUUCCGCCCUUUAGUGCUGCAGCUAACGCAUUAAGCACUCCGCCUGGGGAGUACGGUCGCAAGACUGAAACUCAAAGGAAUUGACGGGGGCCCGCACAAGCGGUGGAGCGUGUGGUUUAAUUCGAAGCAACGCGAAGAACCUUACCAGGUCUUGACAUCCUUUGCCACCUCUAGAGAUAGAAGGUUCCCCUUCGGGGGACAAAGU
This 503-nucleotide ribosomal RNA is filed under the name uncultured Bacillota bacterium. RNAcentral's name for it is "bacterial SSU rRNA". It matches the Rfam family "Bacterial small subunit ribosomal RNA", at positions 533 to 1032 of the family's 1533-position model. Lineage: Bacteria; Bacillati; Bacillota. The record is from RNAcentral.